CAUAGGUUAAUGAGGCGAACCGGGGGAACUGAAACAUCUAAGUACCCCGAGGAAAAGAAAUCAACCGAGAUUCCCCCAGUAGCGGCGAGCGAACGGGGAGGAGCCCAGAGCCUGAAUCAGUGUGUGUGUUAGUGGAAGCGUCUGGAAAGGCGCGCGAUACAGGGUGACAGCCCCGUACACAAAAAUGCACAUGCUGUGAGCUCGAUGAGUAGGGCGGGACACGUGGUAUCCUGUCUGAAUAUGGGGGGACCAUCCUCCAAGGCUAAAUACUCCUGACUGACCGAUAGUGAACCAGUACCGUGAGGGAAAGGCGAAAAGAACCCCGGCGAGGGGAGUGAAAAAGAACCUGAAACCGUGUACGUACAAGCAGUGGGAGCCUCUUAAUGGGGUGACUGCGUACCUUUUGUAUAAUGGGUCAGCGACUUAUAUUCUGUAGCAAGGUUAACCGAAUAGGGGAGCCGAAGGGAAACCGAGUCUUAACUGGGCGUUAAGUUGCAGGGUAUAGACCCGAAACCCGGUGAUCUAGCCAUGGGCAGGUUGAAGGUUGGGUAACACUAACUGGAGGACCGAACCGACUAAUGUUGAAAAAUUAGCGGAUGACUUGUGGCUGGGGGUGAAAGGCCAAUCAAACCGGGAGAUAGCUGGUUCUCCCCGAAAGCUAUUUAGGUAGCGCCUCGUGAAUUCAUCUCCGGGGGUAGAGCACUGUUUCGGCAAGGGGGUCAUCCCGACUUACCAACCCGAUGCAAACUGCGAAUACCGGAGAAUGUUAUCACGGGAGACACACGGCGGGUGCUAACGUCCGUCGUGAAGAGGGAAACAACCCAGACCGCCAGCUAAGGUCCCAAAGUCAUGGUUAAGUGGGAAACGAUGUGGGAAGGCCCAGACAGCCAGGAUGUUGGCUUAGAAGCAGCCAUCAUUUAAAGAAAGCGUAAUA
RNAcentral lists this ribosomal RNA (934 nucleotides) under Escherichia coli. RNAcentral's name for it is "partial 23S ribosomal RNA". It matches the Rfam family "Bacterial large subunit ribosomal RNA", at positions 165 to 1139 of the family's 2925-position model. The record is from RNAcentral. Lineage: Bacteria; Pseudomonadati; Pseudomonadota; Gammaproteobacteria; Enterobacterales; Enterobacteriaceae.